Small RNA from Salmonella enterica subsp. enterica serovar Typhimurium, 388 nucleotides. It matches the Rfam family "Enterobacterial sRNA STnc550". The record is from Rfam. Lineage: Bacteria; Pseudomonadati; Pseudomonadota; Gammaproteobacteria; Enterobacterales; Enterobacteriaceae.
UACAUUUCACUCCAGACCCUCGCUAAGCUCCUGAGAAACGCCAGGUAAACGUUUGCCUACACACACCCUAAUCGCAACAUCAGGGUUGCGGCACGCCGGAAAAACGACACGGAACGUCAGGAAGGGGUCAAUGGCCGUUACGCUAAUUCAGUAAGCCUGGAAUUUUGUCUGAUCUUGAGGAAAAGGGGAAGCGUUAAAAACAGUUAUCAAUAUAAAACAUGAGAGAUUUUUGUGCGGGAAUGUGCAAAAAUGCGCUAUAUCACUUUUUGUGUGGGAAUAAAAAGGAGAAAACUUGAUGAGUACCGACCUGAAAUUUUCGUUGAUUACUACGCUGAUUGUUCUGGGCGUGAUUGUCGCAGGUGGAUUAACGGCCGCUCUGCACUGAUUU